AAAGAGAAGCGACCUCGCGAGAGCAAGCGGACCUCAUAAAGUGCGUCGUAGUCCGGAUUGGAGUCUGCAACUCGACUCCAUGAAGUCGGAAUCGCUAGUAAUCGUGGAUCAGAAUGCCACGGUGAAUACGUUCCCGGGCCUUGUACACACCGCCCGUCACACCAUGGGAGUGGGUUGCAAAAGAAGUAGGUAGCUUAACCUUCGGGAGGGCGCUUACCACUUUGUGAUUCAUGACUGGGGUGAAGUCGUAACAAGGUAACCGUAGGGGAACCUGCGGUUGGA
This 282-nucleotide ribosomal RNA is filed under the name Escherichia coli. RNAcentral's name for it is "partial 16S ribosomal RNA". It matches the Rfam family "Bacterial small subunit ribosomal RNA", at positions 1241 to 1522 of the family's 1533-position model. RNAcentral also lists the same sequence under 3 other names. Lineage: Bacteria; Pseudomonadati; Pseudomonadota; Gammaproteobacteria; Enterobacterales; Enterobacteriaceae. The record is from RNAcentral.